GUUUUGUUAUCUGUCAAAUAAAAUGUCUCGGAAAGUACCGUUUACCGUUAUUUACAUUUUUCCUUGGCUUUGUUAUUCUAUUGUUUGUUUUUUCCUUGUUGGUUUUUGUUUAUAUGAAUUUAGAUUUUUUUAACAAACAAAUUGUUGUUUUAUUUGUACAUUUUAUUUUCAUUUAAACUAAAAAAAAGAAGAUGUGUGAUUCAGACGUGAUUGAAACAGGUUCCCCCGUCUAUACAACUUAUGACCCGGAGUUUAACGAAAUUUGGGAGGACAUGGCGGAGACUAUAAAAUUUAAGGAACAGGACGAAGAACUACAAACGCUAUUUACCAACAAAAUGCAUUUAAAUUCUCCAUCUUCGUCGAGGGACAAGUAGCAGACAAAAUAUUUUAUUUAUUUUCUUUGUAAAUUUAAUGUUUUUGUUGAGACUUAGUGGUUUUUUAAAUUGUGUAUCAUGAUUUUCUUGUAUUUCGAUUUAAAAUUAAGAUGUUGUGAUUUUUAGUAUUAUUUUUAAGAAUUUUAUUUUAUUCUUGAGUCAACAAAAUUCAACAAAAAACUCAUUUUU
Molecule: long non-coding RNA, 563 nt
Organism: Eupeodes corollae
Lineage: Eukaryota; Metazoa; Arthropoda; Insecta; Diptera; Syrphidae
Exons: 2
Source: RefSeq, a predicted model, not a curated record